UCCCCCCCGGGCCCUGCGACCCAGCCCACAGGAGCGCACCCCCUGAUAGGUGACGGAUAGGGGACAGCGUCUCCCCACGCGUGGUCCGCCCAGAGUGACCGGCUGCACCUUCCUGUCCCGGGUGAGGAAGCCCCAACCCGCCCGCGUGUGGAGGUUCGCACUGUUCAGGCCGUAUCUGAGGGGCGUCCUGCACAGGAAUUCUGGGGAGAAGGAAGCCAGCCGUGAAGGGAGGGGGAAAGCACUGAGGACACACCCCCAAGACCCUCCCUCGCCUCCCACGUGAGGCCGCACUGGCGUCUGCACGUCCAGGCGGACGAGGAGGCGGUCCAGGCGGACCCCGGAGGAGGGCAGGCCCUGCUCAGUUCGGGGGAUGAGAGGCCGUGUGGGUCGUCACCACUGUCUGCUUCCUGGGGGCCCUUGCUGACCCCUCGCCCACAGGGCGAUUGCCCCGGCGGCACAGGGGCAGCCCACGCAAGGGUCAGAGGCCCCGUACGCAUGGACAUCCCAGAGGGAGCGUCGAGUCCCCCUGGACUCUGGGAAGGGGGGCCGGACCCCCAGGAGCCAGCGCAGGUCUCCACAAGCUUAGUGGAGCAAAACUGCAGUUUCUUUUCAAGUCAUCUUUCAGUUCUGGAGGUCGGAAGUCAGAAGCCGGUCUCACUGGGCUAAAAUCAGACAGCAGCAGGCGGCACCUCCUUCGUGGGCUCCGGGACAGCGCAUGUCCCGUCCCCCAGCCUCCAGAGCUGCCCGCCUUCCCUGCCCGAGGCCUCCCGCCUCCCCCUUCGGGGCUGAUGACCGGCCAGGGCUCCCUCGCGCAGAGCCGCGCUGACGCCCCUCCCCACACCUCCCGCCGGAUCCUCUCCCCUGCCUGCCUCCUUCUCCCGGGAUCGCCACUGGGGCCGCCCAGAUCACGUACAAUAACCUCCCCAUUUUAAAGCCAGCCGUUGGGCAGCCUCGUUCCUCCCUGACGUGCAGUAUGACCUGAUCACAGAUUAUGGGGCGCAUCUGGCGGUGGAGGCGUCUCUUCCGCCUACGGCAGGUGGCAGACAAGACGAAUUUGGGGAAGCUGAUGCUACAGUGCAGAUGGGCUAAACAACCACCUGCUCUCAUGGGCUGAAAUAAGAAACUUACACCAGGACGUCAGAGAUACCUUAAUAAUUCUGACGACUUCUCCUUGAGGCCCUCCCAUUUGAAUGUGGGAUCUGGUCCCAAGAAGGAUUGGAGCCCCGUCAGACGCUGGUUGGGGAAACACCCACUUGUCCUGUGAAACCUGAGCAGGGAGGCUGGGCUCCCCUCAGCCCCACCAGGGAGCUCUCCACAACUAGCCUCUCUGGAAGGAACCGUUUCUCAGGCGCCAGUAGAUGAGGAAAUUCCCUGAUCUCAUACUUCCCGUGGGUCUCACUGCCACGUCUGUCACCCUGCGGACAUGCAACAGCGGGAGGCGGGCUGGGCCGAGGCCGUGUCGGGCCAUGGCCUCCAGAGCUGUCACCGUCCUCUGUCCUGCCCAGUUCUCUCCGGACUAUCCACUUGACUUCAUUUAAAGGGAUGUCGCCUUGGGGCAGCCCGACUGUGCAGCCAGUGUUUUCCUGUGCACCACCCCAGCGCUGAGCACCAGGUGGUACCAGGACCAGGUGUGCCACCGAGCUACUGGCUUGGCCUCCUAAUGGGUGUGACCCCCUGUGCCUCCACAUCUCCUCUCUACCAGCUCCCUCUAAAGACUGUAGCCUUUGAAAUAUAAAUAUGUUUAUCUCCCCUUAAAACUCCUCAGUCAUCUAUCCUCAGAUAAGCCUGCUGACUUCCCCAGGCUCCCCCAGCCCUCAUCGCCUGGCCUUGUGUCUCCUCUGGCACACUUUACACUGUCCCUCCACGUCUUUGCUCUUCAUCCACGCUGACCUUGAUUUAGUUUCUCCCUCACUUGCUCCGUUUUACUAACUCAGGUCCUUCUGUUAUCAUCCGUGGUCCCCCAAACCUGCUGCCCACUUCGCCUGAGCAGUCAGGCCUCAUCCUCACAUGCCUCAGGACCCUCACAUCUGUUACCAGGCCUCCAAAUUCCACGUCUUUAUACCGCAGACCACA
This is a long non-coding RNA of Manis pentadactyla (Chinese pangolin), 2073 nucleotides long. RefSeq lists it as uncharacterized. Lineage: Eukaryota; Metazoa; Chordata; Mammalia; Pholidota; Manidae. The record is from RefSeq and is a predicted model, not a curated record. The transcript is spliced from 4 exons.